RNAcentral lists this unclassified non-coding RNA (261 nucleotides) under Ceratobasidium sp. RNAcentral's name for it is "partial internal transcribed spacer region". The stretch from base 1 to 46 matches the Rfam family "Eukaryotic small subunit ribosomal RNA", at positions 1786 to 1831 of the family's 1831-position model. Lineage: Eukaryota; Fungi; Basidiomycota; Agaricomycetes; Cantharellales; Ceratobasidiaceae. The record is from RNAcentral.
AAGUCGUAACAAGGUUUCCAUAGGUGAACCUGCGGAAGGAUCAUUAUUGAAUGAAUUUAGGAGUUGGUUUGAUGCUGGCCGACAACCCCAAGGGCAUUUUGCAUGCCUUCUCCUUCAUCCACACACACCUGUGCACUUGUGAGAUGUGAGGAUUAAUUUCCUCCGUCUACUAAUCACACAAACUCAUUGUAAUUGAACUGAAUGUAAUUGAUGUAACACAUCAUUUGAACUAAGUUUCAACAACGGAUCUCUUGGCUCUCA